AGUGAACGCUGGCGGUAGGCCUAACACAUGCAAGUCGAACGGCAGCACAGUAAGAGCUUGCUCUUACGGGUGGCGAGUGGCGGACGGGUGAGGAAUACAUCGGAAUCUACUUUUUCGUGGGGGAUAACGUAGGGAAACUUACGCUAAUACCGCAUACGACCUACGGGUGAAAGCAGGGGAUCUUCGGACCUUGCGCGAUUGAAUGAGCCGAUGUCGGAUUAGCUGGUUGGCGGGGUAAAGGCCCACCAAGGCGACGAUCCGUAGCUGGUCUGAGAGGAUGAUCAGCCACACUGGAACUGAGACACGGUCCAGACUACUACGGGAGGCAGCAGUGGGGAAUAUUGGACAAUGGGCGCAAGCCUGACCCAGCCAUACCGCGUGGGUGAAGAAGGCCUUCGGGUUGUAAAGCCCUUUUGUUGGGAAAGAAAAGCAGCAGGUUAAUACCCCGCUGUUCUGACGGUACCCAAAGAAUAAGCACCGGCUAACUUCGUG
Molecule: ribosomal RNA, 492 nt
Filed under: uncultured bacterium
Lineage: Bacteria
Description: partial 16S ribosomal RNA
Rfam family: Bacterial small subunit ribosomal RNA
Source: RNAcentral